RNAcentral lists this small nuclear RNA (106 nucleotides) under Meriones unguiculatus (Mongolian gerbil). Lineage: Eukaryota; Metazoa; Chordata; Mammalia; Rodentia; Muridae. The record is from RNAcentral.
AUUCUGCAAUUCCAGCACACAUACUAAAGGCUGAAUGCUACUAAGCAGAAUAGCCUGGCCCAUGUACAAGAAUGACACCCAGAUCCAAGAGGCAUAUUACAUCUUC